UGUCUGGGUGGAGCAGUUGGUAGCUCGUCUGGCUCAUAACCAGAAGGUCGGCGGUUCGAGUCCGUCCCCAGCAACCA
Molecule: transfer RNA, 77 nt
Filed under: Salipiger thiooxidans
Lineage: Bacteria; Pseudomonadati; Pseudomonadota; Alphaproteobacteria; Rhodobacterales; Roseobacteraceae
Description: tRNA-Met
Rfam family: tRNA
About the family: Transfer RNA (tRNA) molecules are approximately 80 nucleotides in length.
Source: RNAcentral